AGUUGUAAUUUCUAAGGAUCUGUUAAACUAUGAACUGGUAAUUAGCCAGUUUGUGUCCUUCAUCCUGUGCAACCUCUGCAGUCCUUGUUGGUCAGUGUGCAGGCAUUCAAAAUGAGCACUAAUGCUGGGAAGAGGCUGGUUAUUGUGUGUAGCUGAGGCGGGGCCUUUGGCAUCUGACAGUGAAGACCAGUCAUACAAAACAGCAACAUCUGAGCACAACCCAGGGUGACUGAAGUAAUGUUUAGCGGUCGUAAUGGUCCUGCGCUUGGCCAGUCACUGCCUACGGCUGUGGCUAGGGUGUAGUGGGUGUGAUAUUCCCUGCUUGUAUAACUAUCAUUUUGUGUGCUGCUUAGUCUGGCAAUGGUAAUGGUUAAUGAUGUCUCUGCUGGAAAAACUCCUCCCUGCACUCAGCAUCAACAACAGACUGUCUCUCUUUAGUUCUUAACAAGAUGGCUGGCAAGGUUGGUUCAUUUUGCUGCAUCUGAAGUCUCGGGGAACAUCUGGAGCAACCUCAGCUGUGACUUUCCAGUUAUAAAGAACAGGCAGAUCUCCCAACACCACAGGAAAAGGUCACACGUCUGCAGCCUCAACAUUCAGCAACUGACUCAUCAGCAUCCCUGUAUAGUCCACCACCUCCAGCCUCAACAGAAGAAUGAGGCAGAAACCCAGUCAUAUUUCUACAGGCAGCUCUAAUUCUCUCAAAGGUAAGGAGGAAAGUAGGCUCAAUAUUUUCUGCAAAUUUUUGUAACCUUGGCUCAUGAGGUUUUUGACUGACCUGUGGGAAUACUGACUCUUUUAUUUUGUGGUGGGUGUCUUAUCUUGGACCUGGUGGUGGUUUACCACCAGAUCACAGCUUCCUGUGGUUCUGGAUCAGCUGAAGUGGGCUCUGGGAAGAGAUGCCUGUGCUUUCUUUAAGAGCUAAAACGGUUGCAAAGCCUUAAAAACACUGUUUUUGCGUUAGAAACUUGUUUCAAUUUUACCAGGCAUCAAGGCCUGAAUGAUCAUGGCAAGUUCCUUUAGUGUUGGCUAAUUGAUAUCUUCAUCCACAGCGCCUGGUGCCAUAUUAGAAACAACAUCAAAGUAGAAAAAAAAUAGUUAUAAAAAGAGAAAGGUGGCUGAUCACUGCACUGCCACCAUGUGUGAGUCAUGUAGUAGGUUUUGGAACAGUGGGCUUUAUUUUCACCCCCAAAAUAAAAUAUUUUUUCCAAAGUCAAGUAUAGUUCUAGACCCUUAAAAGAGGUCAGCUACACUGAAGCUCUAAUGAAGCACCAGGAUACAAAAUAACAAACAAACCAAGUAUGGAUCAUUUUGGUACUGGCCAAUUUAGGCAAUCAAGUGGAUCAAACUCUGAAAAACUAUCUAAUAACAAAGAAACAAAAACAAAGGCUUUUUAAAUAGUUAUUUAUGUAAAAAUCGUCAUAUUCAAAAUAACUAACUAAGGAAGCAAAGAAAAUCAACAACAUAUUUAAGUUAAAUACCCCCCUCCCCUCCCC
RNAcentral lists this long non-coding RNA (1493 nucleotides) under Oreochromis niloticus (Nile tilapia). RNAcentral describes it as "lncRNA (ENSONIG00000040633.1)". Lineage: Eukaryota; Metazoa; Chordata; Actinopteri; Cichliformes; Cichlidae. The record is from RNAcentral.